RNAcentral lists this unclassified non-coding RNA (245 nucleotides) under Hevea brasiliensis (rubber tree). Lineage: Eukaryota; Viridiplantae; Streptophyta; Magnoliopsida; Malpighiales; Euphorbiaceae. The record is from RNAcentral.
AGGGAUUGGAUUGCCAAACUUCCUUCCUCGAGGUGUUUUCCUCAAUGUUUUGCAGAGAAAAGUGAAGGAAAUUGCUGCCUCUCCAGAGGAUUUUGUGGGGAAACUGUGGAAUUACUUAGAGCGAGUUGUAAUCAUAGUUUUAAUGCAUCAUUGUGAGAACUAUCCACAGCUUCAGUCUUCUACUAGAAGAGCAGCCCAAAACUUGAUUGCCAAGAAAAAGAAUGAAUCAGUUGAUUGGGUAAGGG